UUUCCGUAGGUGAACCUGCAGAAGGAUCAUUAAUGCUUCUCCAAUAUCAACCAAAUCGUGAAACAAGUUUCCGUCUUCAACGACAAAAAGAAGGCCUCAGCAAUGAGGUCUUCUUGUUGAGGAUUGGUUUAUUCUUUAAAUUUUAACCCCAAGUAAACAAUUCUGAACUGAAAAAUCUUUGUGACUGAAAAGUUGCAGAGCAAGAAAACGAAAUUAAGAAACAACUCUUAACAACGGAUAUCUUGGUUCUCGCAUCGAUGAAGGACGCAGC
Molecule: unclassified non-coding RNA, 271 nt
Filed under: plant metagenome
Description: partial contains small subunit ribosomal RNA, internal transcribed spacer 1, and 5.8S ribosomal RNA
Rfam family: 5.8S ribosomal RNA (bases 223-271)
Source: RNAcentral